RNAcentral lists this ribosomal RNA (425 nucleotides) under uncultured bacterium. RNAcentral describes it as "partial 16S ribosomal RNA". It matches the Rfam family "Bacterial small subunit ribosomal RNA", at positions 359 to 775 of the family's 1533-position model. The record is from RNAcentral.
GAAUAUUGGACAAUGGGGGGAACCCUGAUCCAGCCAUGCCGCGUGUGUGAAGAAGGCCUUUUGGUUGUAAAGCACUUUAAGCGAGGAGGAGGCUACCUGGAUUAACACUUUAGGAUCGUGGACGGUACCCGCAGAAUAAGCAACGGCUACCCCUGUCCCCGCCGCCGCGGUAAUACAGAGGGUGCGAGCGUUAAUCGGAUUUACUGGGCGUAAAGCGUGCGUAGGCGGCCAAUUAAGUCAAAUGUGAAAUCCCCGAGCUUAACUUGGGAAUUGCAUUCGAUACUGGUUGGCUAGAGUAUGGGAGAGGAUGGUAGAAUUCCAGGUGUAGCGGUGAAAUGCGUAGAGAUCUGGAGGAAUACCGAUGGCGAAGGCAGCCAUCUGGCCUAAUACUGACGCUGAGGUACGAAAGCAUGGGGAGCAAACAG